This 406-nucleotide ribosomal RNA is filed under the name uncultured bacterium. Its description in RNAcentral is "partial 16S ribosomal RNA". It matches the Rfam family "Bacterial small subunit ribosomal RNA", at positions 30 to 526 of the family's 1533-position model. The record is from RNAcentral.
AUUGAACGCUGGCGGCAGGCUUAACACAUGCAAGUCGAGCGAGCGGCGGACGGGUGAGUAAUGUAUGUGAAACGGCCUGAUGGAGGGGGAUAACUACUGGAAACUGUAGCUAAUACCGCAUACCAUCAGAUGUGCCCAGAUGGGAGUGGCUAGUAGGUGGGGUAAUGGCUCACCUAGGCGACGAUCCCUAGCUGGUCUAAGAGGAUGAACAGCCACACUGGAACUGAGACACGGUCCAGACUCCUACGGGAGGCAGCAGUGGGGAAUAUUGGACAAUGGGCGAAAGCCUGAUGCAGCCAUGCCGCGUGUGUGAAGAAGGCCUUCGGGUUGUAAAGCACUUUAAGCGGGGAGGCGUUACUCGCAGAAGAAGCACCGGCUAACUCCGUGCCAGCAGCCGCGGUAAUAC